GCACAAGCGGUGGAAUAUGUGGUUUAAUUCGAUGCAACGCGAAGAACCUUACCUGGUCUUGACAUCCCGGAGACCCUUAGGAAACUAGGGGGUGCUUCCAUCUGGAAGAAUCUGGAGACAGGUGCUGCAUGGCUGUCGUCAGCUCGUGUCGUGAGAUGUUGGGUUAAGUCCCGCAACGAGCGCAACCCUUGCCUUUAGUUGCCAGCAGUUCGGCUGGGCACUCUAAAGGGACUGCCGGUGUUAAACCGGAGGAAGGUGGGGAUGACGUCAAGUCCUCAUGGCCUUUAUGACCAGGGCUACACACGUACUACAAUGGCCGAUACAAAGGGCAGCGACACUGCGAGGUGAAGCCAAUCCCGUAAAAUCGGUCUCAGUCCGGAUUGGAGUCUGCAACUCGACUCCAUGAAGUUGGAAUCGCUAGUAAUCGUGGAUCAGCAUGCCACGGUGAAUACGUUCCCGGGCCUU
This 465-nucleotide ribosomal RNA is filed under the name uncultured Desulfobulbus sp. RNAcentral describes it as "bacterial SSU rRNA". It matches the Rfam family "Bacterial small subunit ribosomal RNA", at positions 923 to 1382 of the family's 1533-position model. The record is from RNAcentral. Lineage: Bacteria; Pseudomonadati; Thermodesulfobacteriota; Desulfobulbia; Desulfobulbales; Desulfobulbaceae.